UUAAGCGGCAUUUUUUCUCAAUACUAAGCGUCUUCUCAAACAUUCUUUUCAUCAGCAUCAUUCAAAAACCCUAAUUAUCAGUCAUUCCUUUUAUCAAUCCACCGCCGCAUGCCACUCUAUUUCACCAUAAAACUGACGAUUCAAAAGGGAUUCUUCAAUCUUUACAAGAGUACCAGAAACCCUAAUUUUUUGUUGGUUAAGUUUUCUUGUGAACCAUUUUUCAUCUUCAACGCAUCCACGUCGGCGUUGUUGUUAGGGUUCUGUGACAGAUGGUGUUGGUGAGUUGGAUUAGAAAGAAGUCGAGAAACAGAGCAGUUAAUUGAUUUGAAUGGUUCAGUUUUGCAGAAAAUUGCUAAAAGUGGAGGGUACUGAUGAAGUUCAGGUGGACCGACCACUAGAACUCUUCGCUUUUGAUUGCAAGCAACAAGGGAAGUUUUUUUCUUUUGAUGUUUUGUGUUCCAUACCUGGAUAAUCUUGAAUUAAUAAACAAAGAAAAUGUUUUCAUGUUUUUCCGAUUAUGAUUCUGAAAUCGCAGUUCGUGUUUCAAUAUCACCAUUCAUCCUUAUUCAGCCAUAUCCAAACCCUAAUUCUCAUCUAGGCCUCGCUUUGAAGCUUCUAAUAUUUCAAUCAUUGGUUAAUCGCUGCUUCAUCUCCUAUUUUUUGGUUAUUCCUUUUCUAAUCGAUUAAGAACAACAUCACAAAGCCUACAAGACGAAUGAUUAGAAGAGAAGAAAGAUAUGCGAAGAUUUGAAAAUGGAAACUAAUUCACGGUUGUGUCACCCCAAAAAAUGAGCGCUCAAUUUGCUAGCUCCAACCUGUCCGUUUCCAAUCUGUCUAUCAUGGUGAUUAAGAUUGUAUAUUUCAUCGCUUCUCUGGUCCUGAAAAGUCUGUAAAUUAAAGGUAAUUUUGAUUGAUUUUCGAUAUGGAUUGUGUAUAUUUCUGUGAUUUACAGUUUAGAGAAGAAGAUGUUGGAUUGUGGAUUGCAGGUACAUCUUCUGUUUGUUGUAAUCAGUUAAUAUAAAUUUGAAUGAACUUCUGUUUCUUUUCAUCUAAAAUCAAACCCUGAAACAAAUUAUCACCGAAUAAUAUUGGUUGGAUGAGAAUUUGCUCCUGUGGUCGGAUUGAACAAUUCCUUUUACAAACCCCGCUCAAACCCUAAAAAACUAUAACGCCGCACAUUGCAUCUUCUUCAAUCCAUCUCUUCAAUACUCUUAUUUGAUUUUCGGCUGUAAGUAAUAAGCCUCUUAAUCUUCCAAAUAGCCAUUGGCAACCACAUAGCCAACAUUGUCCAUGAAAUCAGGCCUAAGAAGAUAUGAAAUCUUAGCCAACAUCUGAUAACUUUUUGACGAGUUAGGGUUUUUCAAUACCCCGUAAGUAGAGAAGAAGAUCAAGGUUAGUAUAUGCUUCCGUAUGUUUGAUUCUAAGCAUGGCCCUUCCUGAUUGUUGUAUCUCAUAUCGAUUUAAGGUAUCUACAUGUGUCUAAAUUUCGAUUUAAAUACCGAUUUUCCUCUAUUUUUUUCAGCAUCAAUCUCUUCGCAGAUUGGGUAUCAUGUUUCAGGUUAGGGUUUUUGAAAAUCUUGAUUAAUACAUGUUAAGUUGCUGUUGUGGUAGUAUUUCCCCUUGGGGUAGUAUAUUUCAUUAUAACAGGGGACAUAUAAUGUUUUCAACUUAGUUUGUAACCAUUCGGUUACCUCAGAUUACAGAUACUGGUUGUAAGGGUUUAAAUAUCUUUUCAACUUAUUAUGAACAAAUCUGAUGAUUUUGCUUCUGUUGUAGUUUAUGUUUAUAUUCGGUUUCCAGUGGUGCUUUUUUUUUUGGGCUCUAAUGCCGGCGAAGCAACUGGCGCCCUCAGCAGGUAUGGUUGCAUAUAAGAAAUGAAAUUGGCCUUGGUGAUUUUGUAGUACAUAAAUUAAGUGAAGCUCUAUAUCAAGUUGUGUUUUUUAAGAUAUUUAAUUUGUCCAUUUUGUGCAAAAUCUUACUAUUCACUUCAUCACAUAUAUUACUUAACUAUGAUUAGAAUAGUUAAUUAAGAUAUUCAUGUCGAUGAUGGCUAUUGAAGAAACCCUAGAUGAUGGCGAUUGAACAAGCCGAACAACCCAGGUCCAAUGGGGAUCUAGCUUCUUCUGCUAUUCAGUGGAUGUCAAGUUGUUAAAACAGAAGUUUGGGUUUGCUGGUGUCUGUCUUAUUAGUCAAAGGUUGUUGCUCCGAGGUAUGUGUGUAUUGGUCAGACUGGUUUAAAGGCAUCCAGUUGUUUGGGGACACUGCCAAAGUCACAUUCACGGCAUGUUUUCUUUCGCUAGAUCAAAUUUAGGAUGAUAUAUUUGGAGAAUCUUCACCUAGAGCAUGUGAAACAAAUAAGAGAUCAAAUGACAUGACCUCUAAUGAUAUAUUCGGACAAUCAUCGGCUGGAGUCCGAAAAUCAAUUUACUUUGUUUUGGGUCAUCAGAUUCACUUUCGUUCGUUAGGCGAUGAUGAUGUUAUAGUUGUGGCAUGGUAAAUGUGAUGGCUUGAAACAGGCAACCAAUAAAUUUGCGACUUGUGGAAAGGAUUCAAAUCUAUGUACCCCGCCGCUGGCGUCGCAACAUCACAUUGCUAUAGGAGCAAAAACUAUUUUGCUUUAACCCGCGUCUUCAUCUUACCCGUAUUGAUGACAUUCCUUAUUCCCCCCCCCUUUUCUUUCAUCAUUCUCACAAGAAACUCUAAUCAGUGCCUCACAAUUUUUCAAUCGAUCGCAAGAUGGUUAACAUUCUUGGACAGGGUACUAUCUUAGAUGCACUUCCAUAAUCGAAUCCCUCUUUUGAAUGGUAUGCAAUUACGACGUCUUCCUCAAGUUCUAAGUACGUAUUUGAUGAAAAUGAAAUGAAAUUGACGGUUUUUGACAUGACGAAAGGAUCGAGUUUUGAAGCAUCUUCAAGGUAAGAGUAAGACUCUAUCCCAAGUUGUCAAUGUCACACCCCAACCGAUGGCGGAAACAUCAGGGCGCGACACUGAGCGAAACAGAUUGUCCAGAAGUUUCCAUAACAACUAUAAUUACCAAAUAUUUAAAGCAACAUGUCCCAUACUAUGUCAUAUAGGAUAAUACAAUUAUUACAGAAAAGAUCUAGGCAAAUUGUUUUGUUCCGACAACUCAGAUUUUUAUUACAGACAACUGUUUAUUGUUU
Helianthus annuus (common sunflower) is the source of this 3161-nucleotide long non-coding RNA. RefSeq lists it as uncharacterized. The transcript is spliced from 10 exons. The record is from RefSeq and is a predicted model, not a curated record. NCBI's taxonomy places the organism in Eukaryota, Viridiplantae, Streptophyta, Magnoliopsida, Asterales, Asteraceae.